Long non-coding RNA from Bufo bufo (common toad), 233 nucleotides. RefSeq lists it as uncharacterized. The transcript has 3 exons. The record is from RefSeq and is a predicted model, not a curated record. Lineage: Eukaryota; Metazoa; Chordata; Amphibia; Anura; Bufonidae.
AGUGUGGGUCCAUUGUACUGUACUCACAUUAUCAAGUACAGUGCAACAGACCUGCGGACAGAUAGGAACACACUGCAUCUUAAAGCACUACCAUGCUGUGAGCUUGUGUCAGGGAGAGGCCAUCGGACACGGAGAGGCAGACGCCACUGCAUGAGACUCAGACCUUAUGCCCCACGAUAACCUGUAGGGUGCCUAUAAAUGCCUACUCACAUCUGGUCCAUUCCUGACCCGCA